AGAACGAACGCUGGCGGCAUGCCUAAUACAUGCAAGUCGAACGAACACUUCGGUGUUAGUGGCGCACGGGUGCGUAACGCGUGGGAAUCUGCCCUUGGGUUCGGAAUAACAGUUGGAAACGACUGCUAAUACCGGAUGAUAUCGAAAGAUCAAAGAUUUAUCGCCCAGGGAUGAGCCCGCGUAGGAUUAGCUAGUUGGUGAGGUAAAGGCUCACCAAGGCGACGAUCCUUAGCUGGUCUGAGAGGAUGAUCAGCCACACGUGGGACUGAGACACGGCCCAGACCUCCGUACGGGAGGCGAGCAGGUAGGGAAUAGUUAGGACAAGUGGGACGACAAGCCUGACUCCGAGCAAGUCGCCGGCGUGGAGUGAGUGAAGGUCCGUUAGGGUUAGUAAGGUCUUCGUUUACCCGAGUAGUAGAUAAGUGACGAGUAGUA
Molecule: ribosomal RNA, 435 nt
Filed under: uncultured soil bacterium
Lineage: Bacteria
Description: bacterial SSU rRNA
Rfam family: Bacterial small subunit ribosomal RNA
Source: RNAcentral